UACGUAGGGUGCGAGCGUUAAUCGGAAUUACUGGGCGUAAAGCGUGCGCAGGCGGUUUUGUAAGCCAGAUGUGAAAUCCCCGGGCUUAACCUGGGAAUGGCAUUUGGGACUGCAAGGCUGGAGUGCGGCAGAGGAGACUGGAAUUCCUGGUGUAGCAGUGAAAUGCGUAGAUAUCAGGAGGAACACCGAUGGCGAAGGCAGGUCUCUGGGCCACUACUGACGCUGAGAAGCGAAAGCAUGGGGAGCGAACAGG
Molecule: ribosomal RNA, 253 nt
Filed under: uncultured bacterium
Lineage: Bacteria
Description: partial 16S ribosomal RNA
Rfam family: Bacterial small subunit ribosomal RNA
Source: RNAcentral